GAUGAACGCUGGCGGCGUGCCUAAUACAUGCAAGUCGAGCGAACAGACGAGGAGCUUGCUCCUCUGACGUUAGCGGCGGACGGGUGAGUAACACGUGGAUAACCUACCUAUAAGACUGGGAUAACUUCGGGAAACCGGAGCUAAUACCGGAUAAUAUAUUGAACCGCAUGGUUCAAUAGUGAAAGACGGUUUUGCUGUCACUUAUAGAUGGAUCCGAACCGCAUUAGCUAGUUGGUAAGGUAACGGCUUACCAAGGCAACGAUGCGUAGCCGACCUGAGAGGGUGAUCGGCCACACUGGAACUGAGACACGGUCCAGACUCCUACGGGAGGCAGCAGUAGGGAAUCUUCCGCAAUGGGCGAAAGCCUGACGGAGCAACGCCGCGUGAGUGAUGAAGGUCUUCGGAUCGUAAAACUCUGUUAUUAGGGAAGAACAAAUGUGUAAGUAACUAUGCACGUCUUGACGGUACCUAAUCAGAAAGCCACGGCUAACUACGUG
RNAcentral lists this ribosomal RNA (497 nucleotides) under uncultured bacterium. Its description in RNAcentral is "partial 16S ribosomal RNA". It matches the Rfam family "Bacterial small subunit ribosomal RNA", at positions 28 to 507 of the family's 1533-position model. The record is from RNAcentral.